GAUGAACGCUGGCGGCGUGCCUAACACAUGCAAGUCGAACGGAGCUGCUUUGAUGAGAUCUUCGGAUGGAUUUAAAACAGCUUAGUGGCGGACGGGUGAGUAACGCGUGGGUAACCUGCCUCACACUGGGGGAUAACAGUUAGAAAUAGCUGCUAAUACCGCAUAAGCGCACAGUUCCGCAUGGAACAGUGUGAAAAACUCCGGUGGUGUGAGAUGGACCCGCGUCUGAUUAGCCAGUUGCGGGUAACGGCCCACCAAAGCGACGAUCAGUAGCCGGCCUGAGAGGGUGAACGGCCACAUUGGGACUGAGACACGGGCCCAAACUCCUACGGGAGCAGCAGUGGGAAUAUUGGCACAAUGGGGGAAACCCUGAUGCAGCGACGCCGCGUGAGUGAUGAAGGUCUUCGGAUUGAAACUCCUGUUGUUGAGGUAAGAUAAUGACGGUACUCAACAAGGAAGUGAACGGCUAACUACGUGCCAGCAGCCGACGG
This 491-nucleotide ribosomal RNA is filed under the name uncultured bacterium. RNAcentral describes it as "bacterial SSU rRNA". It matches the Rfam family "Bacterial small subunit ribosomal RNA", at positions 28 to 520 of the family's 1533-position model. The record is from RNAcentral.